GCCGCCGUGGCGGAACAGGCAGACGCAAGGGACUUAAAAUCCCUCGCUGGAAACAGCGUGCGGGUUCGAUCCCCGCCGGCGGCA
This 84-nucleotide transfer RNA is filed under the name Candidatus Gemmiger stercoripullorum. RNAcentral describes it as "tRNA-Leu". It matches the Rfam family "tRNA". From Rfam's summary of the family: Transfer RNA (tRNA) molecules are approximately 80 nucleotides in length. Their secondary structure includes four short double-helical elements and three loops (D, anti-codon, and T loops). Lineage: Bacteria; Bacillati; Bacillota; Clostridia; Eubacteriales; Oscillospiraceae. The record is from RNAcentral.